UAAAAAAAGGUAAGCUACUAAGAGCGAAUGGUGGAUGCCUUGACUGGUAAAGGCGAUGAAGGACGUACUAGACUGCGAUAAGCUACGGGGAGCUGUCAAGAAGCUUUGAUCCGUAGAUUUCCGAAUGGGGCAACCCAAUGUAUAGAGAUAUACAUUACCUAUAUAGGAGCGAACGAGGGGAAUUGAAACAUCUUAGUACCCUCAGGAAAAGAAAUCAAUAGAGAUUGCGUCAGUAGCGGCGAGCGAAAGCGCAAGAGGGCAAACCCAGUGCUUGCACUGGGGGUUGUAGGACUGCAAUGUGCAAGAGGUAAGUUUAGCAGAACAUUCUGGAAAGUAUAACCAUAGAGGGUGAUAGUCCCGUAUGCGAAAAACAAACCUUAGCUAGCAGUAUCCUGAGUAGGGCGGGACACGAGGAAUCCUGUCUGAAUCCGGGUCGACCACGAUCCAACCCUAAAUACUAAUACCAGAUCGAUAGUGCACAAGUACCGUGAGGGAAAGGUGAAAAGAACUGAGGUGAUCAGAGUGAAAUAGAACCUGAAACCAUUUGCUUACAAUCAUUCAGAGCCCUAUGUAGCAAUACAGGGUGAUGGACUGCCUUUUGCAUAAUGAGCCUGCGAGUUGUGGUGUCUGGCAAGGUUAAGCAAACGCGAAGCCGUAGCGAAAGCGAGUCUGAAUAGGGCGCUUAGUCAGAUGCUGCAGACCCGAAACGAAGUGAUCUAUCCAUGAGCAAGUUGAAGCUAGUGUAAGAACUAGUGGAGGACUGAACCCAUAGGCGUUGAAAAGCCCCGGGAUGACUUGUGGAUAGGGGUGAAAGGCCAAUCAAACUUCGUGAUAGCUGGUUCUCUCCGAAAUAUAUUUAGGUAUAGCGUUGUGUCGUAAUAUAAGGGGGUAGAGCACUGAAUGGGCUAGGGCAUACACCAAUGUACCAAACCCUAUCAAACUCCGAAUACCUUAUAUGUAAUCACAGCAGUCAGGCGGCGAGUGAUAAAAUCCGUCGUCAAGAGGGAAACAACCCAGACUACCAGCUAAGGUCCCUAAAUCUUACUUAAGUGGAAAACGAUGUGAAGUUACUUAAACAACC
Molecule: ribosomal RNA, 1081 nt
Filed under: Campylobacter jejuni
Lineage: Bacteria; Pseudomonadati; Campylobacterota; Epsilonproteobacteria; Campylobacterales; Campylobacteraceae
Description: partial 23S ribosomal RNA
Rfam family: Bacterial large subunit ribosomal RNA
Source: RNAcentral